This 253-nucleotide ribosomal RNA is filed under the name uncultured bacterium. RNAcentral's name for it is "partial 16S ribosomal RNA". It matches the Rfam family "Bacterial small subunit ribosomal RNA", at positions 524 to 776 of the family's 1533-position model. The record is from RNAcentral.
UACGUAGGUGACAAGCGUUGUCCGGAUUUACUGGGCGUAAAGAGCGCGCAGGCGGUCGAUCAAGUCGAGUGUGCAAGCCCCCGGCUCAACUGGGGAGGGUCAUUCGAAACUGAUCGACUUGAAGGCAGGAGAGGGAAGUGGAAUUCCCGGUGGAGUGGUGAAAUGCGUAGAGAGCGGGAGGAACACCAGUGGCGAAGGCGACUACCUGGCCUGUUCUUGACGCUGAGGCGCGAAAGCUAGGGGAGCAAACGGG